This 431-nucleotide RNase P RNA is filed under the name Bradyrhizobium sp. MOS002. RNAcentral's name for it is "RNase P RNA component class A". It matches the Rfam family "Bacterial RNase P class A". From Rfam's summary of the family: Ribonuclease P (RNase P) is a ubiquitous endoribonuclease, found in archaea, bacteria and eukarya as well as chloroplasts and mitochondria. Its best characterised activity is the generation of mature 5'-ends of tRNAs by cleaving the 5'-leader elements of precursor-tRNAs. The record is from RNAcentral. Lineage: Bacteria; Pseudomonadati; Pseudomonadota; Alphaproteobacteria; Hyphomicrobiales; Nitrobacteraceae.
UCAGUCGGCCGGACGGCCGCUCCGGCAAGUGCCGAAAGGCCGCCGGGGAGGAAAGUCCGGGCUCCCUUGACAUACGGUGCCGGAUAACGUCCGGCGGGGGCGACCCCAGGGAAAGUGCCACAGAGAACGAACCGCCCGCCGUCGCAGCGAAAGCUGCGUAGGCAGGUAAGGGUGAAAAGGUGCGGUAAGAGCGCACCGCGGCUGCGGCAACGGAGCCGGCAUGGUAAACCCCACCGGGAGCAAAACCGAAUAGGGACGGCAUAGCGGAGUGUUCGCGAAAGCGAUAACGCCGCGGGGCGAUGUCAGGCCCGCCGUCCGGGUAGGUUGCUCGAGGCCAUGUGCAAACAUGGUCCCAGAGGAAUGGCCGUCACGUAUCGUUCGCGCAAGCGGGCGGUGCCCUACAGAACCCGGCUUACAGGCCGGCUGAUAUC